RNAcentral lists this non-coding RNA (28 nucleotides) under Macaca fascicularis (crab-eating macaque). The record is from RNAcentral. Lineage: Eukaryota; Metazoa; Chordata; Mammalia; Primates; Cercopithecidae. RNAcentral also lists the same sequence under 1 other name.
UCCCCACUUUCAGCACUUGUGUGAUGUC